Non-coding RNA from Pogona vitticeps (central bearded dragon), 1169 nucleotides. The record is from RefSeq and is a predicted model, not a curated record. Lineage: Eukaryota; Metazoa; Chordata; Lepidosauria; Squamata; Agamidae.
GUCUCUCCCUAGAUUGUAUACACAAGAUGGCCUGAAAUGGACCAUGCUUCAGGAGUGGUGUAAACAUCUGUAGAGAUCAUUACCCAUGGACUGAUCACCAGUUCCUAGGCUCCUUGGGAUUGAGGAAUAGCUAUGGCAACCCUUUCUCUUGGCAUCACUAGUGAAGUCUACAAGGGUUUUCUUUCUAUUGCAAUUUGAUUCUCCAGAUGGGUCCCCACCCUGAUUCAGAGGGUUCCCUCCAGUGUCUGUAGGCUUGCAUUCCCUUAGGAAAUCCUUUGGAGAAGCCCUUCUUCUGGAAACAGUGAACUUGACCAGGAGAUUGGGUGACAUCCAGGUUUCUGAGGAAAACCCAGGAUCUAUCAGCCUUGAAGAGAUAACUCUCCACCUGAAGGUACCACAAGACUCUUUGUUGGUUUUUCUGAACCUUUGGUAGAACGUUCCUGCCCCAAAUGCAAGAAACGGUGGUUUAUAUCAUUAUCGACUUAUGGGGAUGCUACUCUUCAGUAUUUCUUUGCUCCACUUCUCUGCUGGCCAAAAUCAGAAGGCUGAAUUAUUGUGAAGUAUUAUUCAGGUCAGAGAAGAGGAACUCAUCUUCAGUGACAUUGAUCUCCUGCCUUGUGCGUAGUGAGUUCAAGGUGACUGCAUGGCUCUCCUCCUUCCUACAAUAGUCUUACAACUACAACCUGAGGCAGACAAACAUUAAGCACAGUGAUUGGUCCAAGAUUCCUCCUUCAACCAUGUGAAUUCAUGCUGGCAAACAGGAAGGAAGGAAAGGCAAAUGAGCCCCAAUGCAAUCCAGCCCAAUGCAGGUUUUGGAUGGAAGAAAAUGUUCUGCAACCGUUUCCCUUUAUUCCCAACUCUUCCAUGAAAACAAUGCACGGCAUCCUGUAAACGUCAACCAAUUCAGUAGCUAUGGAUGAAGAGACAAAAAUCAUUCCACUAGACAGACUUAAGGAAAGUGACAUUUUCAUGCCUCCCAAGAUUCGUGUGAGAAGAAAUGCACCUUUCCUCAAGAAUUUACACAUAUUCAAAGCUUACAGAACACAUUUGAGAAAUAAAGUAUGCACAAAAACACUCAUUUCAAAAUGCCAACAGGAGAAAUGCAUAAACAUUUGUAUAAAUCUCCAUGCAUAAAGAAAAAGACAGGCUUAUGAUAAAAGUCUUAUAAC